CCUACGGGAGGCAGCAGUGGGGAAUAUUGCACAAUGGGGGAAACCCUGAUGCAGCGACGCCGCGUGAGUGAAGAAGUAUUUAGGUAUGUAAAGCUCUAUCAGCAGGGAAGAAAAUGACGGUACCUGACUAAGAAGCCCCUGCUAAAUACGUGCCAGCAGCCUCGGUAAUACGUAGGGGGCAAGCUUUAUCCGGAUUUACUGGGUGUAAAGGGAACGUAGACGGCCAGAUAAGUCAGAAGUGAACGCCUAGGGCUCAACCCUGGGACUGCUUUUGACACUGCCGUGCUGGAGUGCAGUAGAGGUAUGCGGAAUUCCUAUUGGAGCGGUGAAAUGCGUAGAUAUUAGGAAGAACACCAGUGGCGAAGGCGGCUUACUGGACUGUAACUGACGUUGAGGCUCGAAAGCGUGGGGAGCAAACAGGAUUAGAUACCCUUGUAGUC
Molecule: ribosomal RNA, 440 nt
Filed under: uncultured bacterium
Lineage: Bacteria
Description: partial 16S ribosomal RNA
Rfam family: Bacterial small subunit ribosomal RNA
Source: RNAcentral